Gracilinanus agilis (Agile Gracile Mouse Opossum) is the source of this 104-nucleotide small nuclear RNA. NCBI's taxonomy places the organism in Eukaryota, Metazoa, Chordata, Mammalia, Didelphimorphia, Didelphidae. The record is from RefSeq and is a predicted model, not a curated record.
GUGCUUGCUUCGUCAACACAUAUACUAAAAUUGGAAUGAUACAGAGAUUAGCAUGGCUCCUGCACAAGGAUGACACGCAAAUUCAUGAAGCGCUUGAUAUUUUU